RNAcentral lists this ribosomal RNA (3037 nucleotides) under Globobulimina sp. RNAcentral's name for it is "bacterial LSU rRNA". It matches the Rfam family "Bacterial large subunit ribosomal RNA". The record is from RNAcentral. Lineage: Eukaryota; Foraminifera; Rotaliida; Buliminidae.
AGGGCUUACGGUGAAUGCCUUGGCGUCAAACGCCGAAGAAGGACGUGGCUAGCUGCGAUAAGCCUCGGGGAGCUGCGGCAAGUGCCGAUCCGAGGAUGUCCGAAUGGGGAAACCCACCUGGGGGAAUGCCCAGGUACCGCCUGCUGAACACAUAGGCAGGACGGAGGGAACCGAGGGAACUGAAACAUCUAAGUACCUCGAGGAAAAGAAAUCAUUCCCUGAGUAGUGGCGAGCGAAAAGGGAAUAGCCCAAACUUGUACAGCGUGAUAGCUCGUAGGCGUUGCUGUAUGGGGGUUGUAGGACUCAAUAGAGGUUGCUACGAAAACUUCAAGGAGUUACAAAUUUGGCUGAUAGUUGAACGGCACUGGAAAGGCCGAGCGUAGAGGGUGAUACUCCCGUAAACGAAAUCUGACCAAACUCCUUUUGAUGUUCCUGAGUACCACGGAGCACGCUAACUCUGUGAGAAGCUGGGAAGCCCACUUCCCAAGGCUAAAUACGUUUGACGACCGAUAGUGAACCAGUACCGUGAGGGAAAGGUGAAAAGGACCCCAGUGCGGGGAGUGAAAUAGAACCUGAAACCGUAAGCCUACAAUCAGUCGAAGCACUAUGGGUGGUUACGACCACCAACGUGUGACGGCGUGCCUUUUGGAGAAUGAGCCAGCGAGUUACUUCUCAGUGGCAAGGUUAAGUCAGUUACAGACGGAGCCGUAGCGAAAGCGAGUCUUAAUAGGGCGCAUAACGACAUUUCGGUGUCGUGCAGUCGCUGGGAGUAGACCCGAAACCGGGUGAUCUAUCCAUGGUCAGGGUGAAGCGGGAGUAAUGUCUCGUGGAGGCCCGAACCCACCAAUGUUGCAAAAUUGGGGGAUGAAUUGUGGAUAGAGGUGAAAUGCCAAACGAACCCGGAAAUAGCUGGUUCUCCCCGAAAUAGCUUUAGGGCUAGCCUCAAGCGUUUAGUAUCGGAGGUAGAGCACUGGAUGGGCUAGGGGGCUUAUAGCUUACCAAACCCAACCAAACUCCGAAUGCCGAUACUCCAGAGCUUGGGAGUCGGACGGCGGGAGAUGAGUUUCGUCGUCGAGAGGGAAACAACCCAGAUCACCAGCUAAGGUCCCCAAGUAUAAGCUAAGUGGGAAAGGUUGUGGGGUUACUGAGACAGCCAGGAGGUUGGCUUAGAAGCAGCCAUCCUUUAAAGAGUGCGUAAUAGCUCACUGGUCUAGUGAUCCUGCGCCGAAAAUUUAACGGGGCUCAAGCUUAUCACCGAAGCUGUGGGUUUUCGAUAAGUAGCUGUGCCGAUGAUGAGAAAGCCUUUCUUCAGAUAGUAUCGCUUCGGCGAUGCCUGAUGUCGAUCGGUGAUUAUUGUUUGACGCGCAGUUACAACAACUAUCGUGAGCAGUAGGGGAGCGUUCUGUUCAGCUGGGAAGGUCGACCGUGAGGACGGCUGGAGCGGACAGAAGUGAGAAUGCUGGCAUGAGUAGCGUAAAACAUGUGAGAAACGUGUUCCCCGUAAGUCUAAGGUUUCCGACGGAAGGUUAAUCCGCGUCGGGUUAGUCGGUCCUAAGGCGAGGCCGAAGGGCGUAGCCGAUGGAUAUCCGGUUAAUAUUCCGGAACCACGUCGAGUUGUUUGAGUGAGGGGGGGACGCAGAAGGGUAGUCCAGCCUGUUAUUGGAUUCAGGUGCCAAUCUUUUAGGUGUUGACGCUGGGGUUAAAAGACCAGCUGAGCUGAGGAGUGAUGGCGGUGCGCAUAGCGCCACAAGUGGAUGAUCCCAUACUGCCUAGAAAAGCCCCUAGCAAGACUCACGUGACCGUACCGCAAACCGACACUGGUAGACGGGUAGAAAAUACCAAGGGGAUCGGGAGAACCCUCGUUAAGGAACUAGGCAAAAUAGAUCCGUAACUUCGGGAGAAGGAUCGCCACAUUAGAGUGAGACGACAUGCUUGUUCGAGCUCGAAGUGGUCGCAGUGAAAUGGCUCUGCCGACUGUUUAUCAAAAUCACAGGUCUCUGCUAAACCGAAAGGUGAAGUAUAGGGGCUGACGCCUGCCCAGUGCCGGAAGGUUAAGGGGAGAGGUUAGGUCAUCAGACCGAAGCUUUGAACCGAAGCCCCGGUGAACGGCGGCCGUAACUAUAACGGUCCUAAGGUAGCGAAAUUCCUUGUCGGGUAAGUUCCGACCCGCACGAACGGCGUAACGAGCGGAGCACUGUCUCAACGAGGGACCCGGUGAAAUUGAAGUACGCGUAAAGAUGCGCGUUACCCGCAGAAGGACAAAAAGACCCCGUGGAGCUUUACUGUAGCUUGGCAUUGCGUUAGGGCUUAAUCUGUAGAGGAUAGCUGGGAGACUUUGAAGCUGGGGCGCAAGCCUCGGUGGAGUCGCCGGUGGAAUACCAGCCUGGUUAAGUCUUGGCCCUAACCCGCGUCCGUAAUCCGGCGUGGGGACAGUGCCUGGUGGGCAGUUUGACUGGGGCGGUCGCCUCCUAAAAGGUAACGGAGGCGCGCAAAGGUACCCUCAGGCUGAAUGGAAACCAGCCGAAGAGUGUAAAGGCAUAAGGGUGCUUGACUGCAAGACUUACAAGUCGAGCAGAGACGAAAGUCGGUCUUAGUGAUCCUACGGCUCCGAGUGGAAGGGCCGUGGCUUAACGGAUAAAAGCUACCCCGGGGAUAACAGGCUAGUCUUGCCCAAGAGUCCACAUCGACGGCAAGGCUCGGCACCUCGAUGUCGGCUCGUCGCAUCCUGGGGCUGAAGCAGGUCCCAAGGGUUGGGCUGUUCGCCCAUUAAAGCGGUACGCGAGCUGGGUUCAGACCGUCGUGAGACAGGUCGGUCUCUAUCCUCUGUGGGCGUAGGGAAUUUGAGAGGAUCUGCCCCUAGUACGAGAGGACCGGGGUGGACUGACCUCUGGUGUGCCAGUUGUUCCGCCAGGAGCAUAGCUGGGUAGCUAAGUCGGGCAAGGAUAACCGCUGAAAGCAUCUAAGUGGGAAGCCUGCCUCAAGAUGAGAUUCCCCACCAGGUUAACUGGGUAAGUGCGCCGGAAGACCACCGGCUUGA